RNAcentral lists this ribosomal RNA (253 nucleotides) under uncultured bacterium. RNAcentral's name for it is "partial 16S ribosomal RNA". It matches the Rfam family "Bacterial small subunit ribosomal RNA", at positions 524 to 776 of the family's 1533-position model. The record is from RNAcentral.
UACGGGGGGGGCAAGCGUUGUUCGGAAUUACUGGGCGUAAAGGGCUCGUAGGUGGCCAACUACGUCAGACGUGAAAUCCCUCGGCUUAACCGGGGAACUGCGUCUGAUACUGGAUGGCUUGAGUUCGGGAGAGGGAUGCGGAAUUCCAGGUGUAGCGGUGAAAUGCGUAGAUAUCUGGAGGAACACCGGUGGCGAAGGCGGCAUCCUGGACCGACACUGACACUGAGGAGCGAAAGCCAGGGGAGCAAACGGG